CCCAGGUGCCCCGAGAAUGACCUUUUUUUCUGAACUUAAACCUCAUCUUUCUGAGGCUUCUAAUUAUUUUGACAAUAAUGACUAAAAUUUUUAUUGAGCAGUUAUGCCCCAAUCAUGUGCUAAAUGGUUUACAUACAAUAUCUCAUUUCAUUUCCACUUUUCCUUGAGGGAGUCACUGGGACAUUGGAGAUGUGGGGCAUUAAGCCCUUAUUUGGAGGCAGUCUUAUUAAAUACAACUUAUUUAACUUCUCUGAAUUUUAGUUUCUUGAGAGAAAUGUGCAUGCAAAGACAAGGCCAGGCAAAGACACACCUGAUUUCUAGCUGGGGCUUUGAUUGCAUAGUUGCGGUUGAACUGCAGUCUGGUGAGUAGUGUGAAUCCUCAGAGUCAGAACAUUGGCUUGGGCGGGUCCAAGUGGCUGCCUUUCUUCUUGGUUUCACUAUGGUUCUUUGCCGUUGUUUGGCGUGGGGUGGAGGUGUGGAGGCAGGACGGAAGCCCCGAGGCUCUAGUCUAGAUGACCCAAGAGGAAUGGAAGCGAAGAGCCGUGUGGGAGGAUGCAUGGCCGGGAACAGCCGCUGGGAAAAGAACAGGCUUUGGGAUUCUGCGUCUGGUGAGAGGCCCAAUGUUGACUCCAUCAGGCUUACUCGCACUCGCCGACACCGCUAUCUCAGGGAAUUAAACAUACAAGACCUCAUCAGGUUAUGUGUCUUAAAUGCGCACCUGUUCGGCUAGCUGCUAAGACUGAUUUUUUUUUCCUGUUGAUUAUUGUAUCAGUCAAGAUUUGAUGAGAGAAGUGGAAUGUCCGUGAGCUAUAGAGAGAAGAGGGGCUCUGUCCCUGGGUCCGAGCGCCCGUGCCAGUGGGAGGUCAGUCUGCGGUCUGUGUAAGGUGCCGUCCUGUGUCUCAUCUGGGCCGGAUCAGGGAGGGCCAGUGGGGAGACAGCCCGGAACCAUGUCUGGCCCUCACUGCCUGCCUUCUCCACGAUGACCUGGAGGGGAGACCCGAGGGGCAAGCUGCGGCCCUCAUCCCAGAGCCGCAUUCACCUGGCCUGGGAGCUGGGUUUGCUGCAGGCCCAGCGGCCGCCCCACGCCAGCAAGGUGGGCCCUGAGCCUCCUUCAGAGCAGAACAAGAUGGCAGUGCUUCUCCUGUGCCUUCCAAACCUUCCGAAUGCCAUACAUUCCUCUAGGGCCCUCGCUGACCCGGGACCCUAGAAGGACGGGAAUCCUGGGAAAUGCAGCUGCGUGGACCCAGCCCCCAGCCAUCACGACUGUUCACACUCACAGCAGGUUCACUUCCCUUUAGCUCUUCUGUUCUUCUCUUCAGGCAGGUGGCAGGAGGCCACCUGUGAGGGCCGUGCUAACAGGGUGCCACAGACCAAGUGGCUGAAACAACAGAGUCUUAUUUUCUCACAGUUCUGGAGGCCAGAAGCCCAAGGUCAAGGCCUCUGUCCUCGGCUUCUGGAUAAUGUCUCCUCAGCAUCUUCCUUCUCUGCCUGUGUCCUUACGGCCUCUUGCGGGUAGGACAGGAGUCCUACUGACUCGGCCCCCUCUGAUGACCUUCCUUUACCUCAGCCACUUCUUGAAGGACCUGUCCUCAGACACAGUCCCAUUCCGAGGUGCUGGAGGUUAGGGUUUCUCCGUCUGAAUUCUUCGAGGACAGGGUUCAGCCUUUAACUCUUUCUCACCCUCGUUACCUCGUGGUGAAGGAUCAGGCCCGUCUUCUGCCAGCUGCUCCGCUCUUCCGUCUGGCUCUCGUGGAAGGCAGCUCCUGGGCUUUUUGGGGAAGGUGGAGGACGUGAUUUGCUGAGAUCUGCUUUCCUGCGCGUCGCUGACCUUGCCCAGGCAGCGAGCAUUCCUCCGCGACACACAUUCCGACUUGGUCAGAUCCCAAAGCAGCAAAUCCAGGGGGGAUUUUUUUUUUUUUUUCAAUUUUUAUUGCAUGCAGAAUUCCUCGCAUAGCGGAGAGCUCGGGAAGGAAGGCCCUGUUCGGGGACAGAGGUCAGGCCUUCAGAGUUCAGGGCCUUCCAGAAAGGGUCAGGCCCUCCUCCGCUGAUCCCAAGUUUGCUGGAUUAGAUUCUGAAUUGAUGUAUCUAGAAUGAACUGGAACACAAGUCCCGAAUGCAAUUUAACCCUUGUGCUUUGUUUUCUCCCGUCCCUAAGCUCUCAGCGGCAGGGAGGGCACACGUAGGAAGGGGCAGAGACAAGCAGAGCAAGGAUGAGGGUUCCGUGGCUCUCACUGUGCAGGACAACAGUCCACUGGGUCCUGCCUGCGCCCCCCCCCAACUCUUCCCCCAGCGGUCACGGGCAGUGGGCUAAGGGCUGCCCUGCCUGCCAGGAAGCAGGGUCUGUGAGCUCGAGGCUUCCCCGAGUCCUGUCUCCUGCCCUCCCGCUAGAAAUGGGGAGAGCAGGCUGGGAAACCCG
Molecule: long non-coding RNA, 2416 nt
Filed under: Mustela putorius furo (domestic ferret)
Lineage: Eukaryota; Metazoa; Chordata; Mammalia; Carnivora; Mustelidae
Description: lncRNA (ENSMPUG00000030002.1)
Source: RNAcentral